RNAcentral lists this long non-coding RNA (4038 nucleotides) under Oncorhynchus kisutch (coho salmon). RNAcentral describes it as "lncRNA (ENSOKIG00005012596.1)". Lineage: Eukaryota; Metazoa; Chordata; Actinopteri; Salmoniformes; Salmonidae. The record is from RNAcentral.
AGACUGGCAGCAGAGUCCUGUCUAGCCAGCCAGAAGUCUGAGAGGGUGAGGACUGUGGCAGCAGAGUCCUGUCUAGCCAGCCAGAAGUCUGAGAGGGUGAAGACUGUGGUACCAGAGUCCUGUCUAGCCAGCCAGAAGUCUGAGAGGGUGAGGACUGUGGCAGCAGAGUCCUGUCUAGCCAGCCAGAAGUCUGAGAGGGUGAAGACUGUGGCACCAGAGUCCUGUCUAGCCAGCCAGAAGUCUGAGAGGGUGAAGACUGUGGUACCAGAGUCCUGUCUAGCCAGCCAGAAGUCUGAGAGGGUGAAGACUGUGGUACCAGAGUCCUGUCUAGCCAGCCAGAAGUCUGAGAGGGUGAAGACUGUGGCACCAGAGUCCAAAGGAGCCAGCCAGAAGUCUGAGAGGGUGAAGACUGUGGUACCAGAGUCCAAAAGAGCCAGCCAGAAGUCUGAGAGGGUGAAGACUGUGGUACCAGAGUCCAAAAGAGCCAGCCAGAAGUCUGAGAGGGUGAAGACUGUGGUACCAGAGUCCAAAAGAGCCAGCCAGAAGUCUGAGAGGGUGAAGACUGUGGCACCAGAGUCCAAAGGAGCCAGCCAGAAGUCUGAGAGGGUGAAGACUGUGGUACCAGAGUCCAAAAGAGCCAGCCAGAAGUCUGAGAGGGUGAAGACUGUGGUACCAGAGUCCUGUCUAGCCAGCCAGAAGUCUGAGAGGGUGAAGACUGUGGUACCAGAGACCAAGUCCAUCAAAGUUGUUUUCACCAAAGCAUAUGAUCUAUCACUGAAACCCCACCUGGUGUGGUGGACGUUGUCGAACCAGAUCAGAACUCCUUUCAGGACCACCUUCAGACCACCUUCCGACCACCUCCAGGACCACCUUCAGACCACCUUCUGACCACCUCCAGGACCACCUUCAGGACCACCUCCAGGACCACCUUCAGGACCACCUUCCGACCACCUCCUGGAGCACCUUCAGGACCACCUUCAGGACCACCUCCAGGACCACCUUCAGGACCACCUUCAGACCACCUUCAGACCACCUCCAGGACCACCUUCAGACCACCUUCAGGACCACCUUCAGGACCACCUCUGGGACCACCUUCAGGACCACCUUCAGGACCUCCUCCAGGACCACCUUCAGGAUCACCUUCAGGCCACCUCAGACCAUCUUCAGGCCACCUUCAGACCACCUUCAGGACCACCUUCAGACCACCUUCAGGACCACCUUCAGGACCACCUUCAGACCACCUUCAGGCCACCUUCAGACCACCUUCAGGACCACCUUCAGGCCACCUUCAGGCAUGGACUGAGAAGGACGGGGAGGUUUCUGACCAGGUAAAAAUUAUGUGAGACUGAACAUGGACGAGGUGCAGGAGAAACAGGAGAGCUACCUGAGGAGAAUCAAGAAGGGAACCAAGUGCUACGACAUCUGGGCCAAUUACUUGGUUUGGAAGAAGGUCGAAAGGAAAGCGAGACCUGCGAAACCUCGCUGCUCUUUCGCUCCUAGCUGGGGUCACCAUCUGUUAAGGUAAAUAUAAAACAUCUCUGAUAAUAACUAUUUGCAAAAUGAGCUCACAUCAACCACAUCCAUCAUAACAUCAACCUCGACCACAAAAACCAACCAGAGCCUCAACCACACAUCAAACUUAAACUGAACCACAGCCAUCAAACUCAAACAAAACCCCAAUCUCCAACCUCAACCACACUGCCCUCUGGUGACUGUUACCAUGUAACUAUAUCAGAGGUUGGCAACAGGCGUCCAAAACCGGCCCACAAGUGAUUUAUUUUGCCCCCCCCCCCAAAAAAAAAAGUUUUUAGUAAAAUUAUUUGACUUUUGUUUUUGGUAAAGAAAAUAAGGAAUUCUGCUAAAAAAUGAAAUUUGUUCCCAUGAAUAAAAAUCAAAGUUUGGGAUUGUGUCUCAAUGUAAUCAAGGUAUGAAAUCAGCAUGUUAUUUUAAAAUGCAAGGUCUUCAUGGACUUACUUGUGGUCAAUUUGCUGGGUUCAAAAUUAUUAUAACUAUGUUCUGUCCUCACAACCAUCCGCUCAGACAAAAAACCUUCCCGCUGCUGAGUUGCCUACCCGUGCACUAGAUGGUGCUGUUUACCAAUAACAGGGACUCUUAUGACUUCUUCUUGAGAAAUGAGUGAAACUGUUAGCAGCUGAUGUUGUUCUUUAAUAACACAGACCCCAAAGCAAAUAACUAGCUUUAAGCACCAACUGUCAGAGCAGCUCACAGAUUACUGCACCUGUACAUAGCCCACCUAUCCUUUUAGCCCAAACAACUACCUCUUUCCCUACUGUAUUUAUUUAUUUAUUUUGCUCCUUUGCACCCCAUUAUUUUUAUCUCUACUUUGCACAUUCUUCCACUGCAAAUCUACCAUUCCAGUGUUUUACUUGCUAUAUUGUAUUUACUUUGCCACCAUGGCCUUUUUUUGCCUUUACCUCCCUUAUCUCACCUCAUUUGCUCACAUUGUAUAUAGACUUGUUUAUACUGUAUUAUUGACUGUAUGUUUGUUUUACUCCAUGUGUAACUCUGGGUCGUUGUAUCUGUCGAACUGCUUUGUUAUAUCUUGGCCAGGUCGCAGUUGUAAAUGAGAACUUGUUCUCAACUUGCCUACCUGGUUAAAUAAAGGUGUUCUCAACUAGCCUACCUGGUUAAAUAAAGGUGUUCUCAACUUGCCUACCUGGUUAAAUAAAGGUGUUCUCAACUUGCCUACCUGGUUAAAUAAAGGUGAAAUAAAAUUUUAACAAAUAAAGAAUCAGGGGGAGGAAAAUAGGUUUAUUUGAAGAGGACAAAUCAUACAGGGAGGUAGAUGGUCAUUCUUCCCUGUCCUCAGUGGUUCUCUCCUCAGUGGUUCUCUCCUGUGAUUCUCUCCUCAGUGAUGCUCUCCUGUGAUUCUCUCCACAGAACAAAGGGACAGGAUGUAGUUUUAUAACCCAGCCCUAGCCUGUGGUUGACCAAUUAGAAUUCCUUGCAGUGAAACUGGGCCAAUGGCCAAAUAACAAGUAACCUAUUUCAGGCUCACUGUAUAGACAAAUUCCUCCCAUGUCUCUGACCCAUUGAUCAAUAAUUCCCUAUAACAGAAAAAACACUAUUUACAUUGAUCGUUAGUCCUAUCGACUUCUCGUAUUCUGUCUCUGUGUUGUGUAUUUAUGUUCCAAAUAUUCUUCAGAAACCAAAACAUGAUUUAAAAUGUCUCUUGUAUUGUGCCGUUCCACAUGACUCUCUCUAUUUAAAAUGUCUCUUGUAUUGUACCGUUCCACAUGACUCUCUCUAUUUAAAAUGUCUCUUGUGUUGUACUGUUCCAUAUGACUCUCUCUAUUUCAAAUGUCUCUUGUGUUGUACUGUUCCAUAUGACUCUCUCUAUUUAAAAUGUCUCUUGUGUUGUACCGUUCCACAUGACUCUCUCUAUUUAAAAUGUCUCUUGUGUUGUACUGUUCCAUAUGACUCUCUCUAUUUAAAAUGUCUCUUGUAUUGUGCCGUUCCACAUGACUCUCUCUAUUUAAAAUGUAUCUUGUAUUGUACCGUUCCACAUGACUCGCUCUAUUUAAAAUGUCUCUUGUGUUGUACUGUUCCAUAUGACUCUCUCUAUUUAAAAUGUCUCUUGUAUUGUGCCGUUCCACAUGACUCUCUCUAUUUAAAAUGUCUCUUGUAUUGUGCCGUUCCACAUGACUCUCUCUAUUUAAAAUGUCUCUUGUGUUGUACUGUUCCACAUGACUCUCUCUAUUUAAAAUGUCUCUUGUGUUGUACUGUUCCAUAUGACUCUCUCUAUUUAAAAUGUCUCUUGUGUUGUACUGUUCCAUAUGACUCUCUCUAUUUAAAAUGUCUCUUGUUUAAUAAAGCACUAAUUCACCUUCGCUUUGUGCAGCUUAAUGUUCCAGGAAAACCUCUGGGCCCUAGUCAUAAAGGCUCCAGGAAAACCUCUGGGCCCUAGUCAUAAAGGUUAAAGGAAAACCUCAGGGCCCUAGUCAUAAAGGUUCCAGGAAAACCUCAGGGCCCUAGUCAUAAAGGCUCCAGGAAAACCUCUGGGCCCUAGUCAUAAAG